UACUCUAAUGCAAGGAUACAUUA
RNAcentral lists this ribosomal RNA (23 nucleotides) under Phytophthora lacustris. RNAcentral describes it as "partial 18S ribosomal RNA". The record is from RNAcentral. Lineage: Eukaryota; Oomycota; Peronosporomycetes; Peronosporales; Peronosporaceae.